RNAcentral lists this ribosomal RNA (247 nucleotides) under uncultured bacterium. RNAcentral describes it as "partial 16S ribosomal RNA". It matches the Rfam family "Bacterial small subunit ribosomal RNA", at positions 526 to 771 of the family's 1533-position model. The record is from RNAcentral.
CGUAGGUGGCAAGCGUUGUCCGGAAUUAUUGGGCGUAAAGCGCGGCGCAGGCGGCUUCUUAAGUCCAUCUUAAAAAGUGCGGGGCUUAACCCCGUGAUGGGAUGGAAACUGAGAGGCUGGAGUAUCGGAGAGGAAAGUGGAAUUCCUAGUGUAGCGGUGAAAUGCGUAGAGAUUAGGAAGAACACCGGUGGCGAAGGCGACUUUCUGGACGACAACUGACGCUGAGGCGCGAAAGCGUGGGGAGCAA